This 258-nucleotide ribosomal RNA is filed under the name uncultured bacterium. RNAcentral describes it as "partial 16S ribosomal RNA". It matches the Rfam family "Bacterial small subunit ribosomal RNA", at positions 524 to 776 of the family's 1533-position model. The record is from RNAcentral.
UACGGAGGGUGCAAGCGUUAUCCGGAUUCACUGGGUUUAAAGGGUGUGUAGGCGGGUAUUUAAGUCAGUUGGUGAAAUCUCCAGGCUCAACCGUGAAACUCGCCAUUGAUACUAAUUUAUCUUGAAUAUUGUUGAGGUAGGCGGAAUAGUAUCGAUGUAGCGGUGAAAUGCUUAGAUAUGAUAUAGAACACCGAUUGCGAAGGCAACUUACUAAACAAUCAUUGACGCUGAGGCACGAAAGCGUGGGGAUCAAACAGG